AUUUACAAAAAAAAAUUGAGGAUACAAAAGGUAGUCUAGUUGAUAUUAGCUCUCAACUCUUCUUGUUAGGAAGUCAAUUAAAUGUCUACCCUUUUCUAAUUUGGGGCCAAGUCUAGUUGUUUUUGUGUAAUUAGAUGGGGAGAAGUGAACAGCAACAGAUUAUACCAAGCUUACUUUAGAAAUUUUUAACUUGUUUUCAAGGCAUGAUUGUCUUGUCCUAGGCAUGACAUUUUAGACCCCAAAGGAUGAGUGACUGCCUAGGUUUUUUCAUCUCUUAUUUGUUCCCUGUUUCACAUAAGUUAAACUGCUCAUCACAAACUGUCCCACACCUGAAGAAACCUCAUAGCACUCUUUUUUAAUUUGAUGUAUGUCAAAAAUACCAUGAAAAUUAGUUAGUUUCUAUUUGAACAUGCAUAUUUGAUACAUAUUGUCCUUAUGAUGCGUUCUGCAGUUUAACACUCAUCACAAACUUAUUUUUUUUUAUAUGUUAUUUACUAUUAAUAUGUCUAAGUUGCUCUAGAUUUGUGCAGUUCUGCAGUGAGUGCAAGUGAGGCAGCAAAGGCAGGAAUCCCAUUAGGAGAAUAUGAAAACAGUUCUCAAGUAGGUCCUAACUUUAGUCAACUGAUAAUUUUCCAUUAAUUGGGUUUUGACGGUUGCUUCUUUGUUUUACAGUUCUGCUUGAAUGCUUUAAUUUGUUGAACUGACAAAAACUCUUCGUCAAGCAUUUCCUGUGAAUUUAUUUAAGCAAAAUCUGUGGUAGACUGAAAAGUUUCUUCUUUGUUGUUGGGCCACUAAGCAUUUACAGAUUGAUUUUGCAUUUGAUGAUGUUGAUAUAAUAGAGGAAAGAACACUAAUUUCAGUCAUUGGACGCCGAAGAUUGCAAGGUGAGGAGUCCAUAAUCCAAGAGAAGGUGAGUCGAGUUUUGUUGUCUGUCCUAUUUCCAUGGCUCUCUAGGCAGAGCCAUGGCGUGGAAAUUUACCUGAAGACAUGUAAGUACUCAAAAUAUUUCUUAGCAUUAAUGCUCUGAAUUUAUACAAUCUAAAAUUUAUUCACACUCUAUUUUAAUUACUUCAGUCUGAAACACUUAUUGCUAACUUUCACUUGCAGUUGGUGCUAAGCAUGGCUGAUCAGCUUGUAUUCAUGGUUAAAGAAGAUCUAUAUAAAUGUGGUUUAGAAGGUUCUAUUCCAGUUCUAGUAGAAUCUCUCAACUGGUUGGAAACUGCUGAAGAAUUGAUGACCUAUUUUUAGGUGAUGCAGAGGUAAGCUCUUUUGAGGACAAUAUCUCCCAUAUUUUGCUAUCUGUCUGUCUAUCUAUCUAUCAUCAUUUGCUUUGCUUUGUGCAACUCAUCUCCUACCAUGCUUUGCUUUGUACUUAACGUGGUUGGGUUAUUUCCUUUGGCCAAAAGAAAGAAUAGUUAUAAGGAGCAUAACAAUGUGAUGUUCGUGAAGAAUUUUUGUUAUCUAUAAGUUGAUUGCAGCUGCUGAGAAGGGUGUGCAAGCAUGCUUAAUAAGUUUAAAUAUUUUCACAAUUGUAUAUCUUUCUCAAUGCUUUUCUCUUCUGUUUAAAUAUUAGCUCUCAACUCUUCUUGUUAGGAAGUCAAUUAAAUGUCUACCCUUUUCUAAUUUGGGGCCAAGUCUAGUUGCUUUUUGUGUAAUUAGAUGGGGAGAAGUGAACAGAAACAGAAUAUACCAAGCUUACUUUAGCAAUUUUUAACUUGUUUUCAAGGCAUGAUUGUCUUGUCCUAGGCAUGACAUUUUAGACCCCAAAGGAUGAGUGACUGCCUAGGUUUUUUCAUCUCUUAUUUGCUCCCUGUUUUACAUAAGUUAAACUGCUCAUCACAAACUGUCCCACACCCGAAGAAACCUCAUAGCACUCUUUUUUUAAUUGAUGUAUGUCAAAAAUACCAUGAUAAUUAGUUAGUUUCUAUUUGAACAUGCAUAUUUGAUACUUAUUGUCCUUAUGAUGCGUUCAAUAGAUAAGCAAAUAGCAUACACUUUUCCUAUCUGCAAACAAAAAAUUCUAUUACCCUAACAACAAAAUACUUGAAAGAAAAUCCAACAUAGAGAAAUGUUAACAUAGUUCUAAAACCACCAAAAGUCUGACUAAUGACUACAAAGUUAAAGGAAGAUGCAAA
Molecule: small RNA, 2135 nt
Filed under: Theobroma cacao (cacao)
Lineage: Eukaryota; Viridiplantae; Streptophyta; Magnoliopsida; Malvales; Malvaceae
Description: sRNA Tc06v2_g000620
Source: RNAcentral